UGGGGAAUCUUGCGCAAUGGGCGAAAGCCUGACGCAGCGACGCCGCGUGAGUGAUGAAGGCCUUCGGGUUGUAAAGCUCUGUGGGGAGAGAAGAAUAAGUGCGGGCUAAUACCCCGCAUGAUGACGGUAUCUCCUUAGCAAGCACCGGCUAACUCUGUGCCAGCAGCCGCGGUAAGACAGAGGGUGCAAACGUUGUUCGGAAUUACUGGGCGUAAAGCGAGUGUAGGCGGUUUGGUAAGUCGGAUGUGAAAGCCCCGGGCUCAACCCGGGAAGUGCAUUCGAUACUGCCAAGCUAGAGUAUCGGAGAGGUUGGUGGAAUUCUCGGUGUAGAGGUGAAAUUCGUAGAUAUCGAGAGGAACACCGGUGGCGAAGGCGGCCAACUGGACGAAUACUGACGCUGAGACUCGAAAGCGUGGGGAGCAAACAGGAUUAGAUACCCUCGUAGUCCCUGAGCGGGCUGGCAAGGCGCAU
RNAcentral lists this ribosomal RNA (471 nucleotides) under uncultured bacterium. Its description in RNAcentral is "bacterial SSU rRNA". It matches the Rfam family "Bacterial small subunit ribosomal RNA", at positions 355 to 825 of the family's 1533-position model. The record is from RNAcentral.